Molecule: ribosomal RNA, 502 nt
Filed under: uncultured Glomus
Lineage: Eukaryota; Fungi; Glomeromycota; Glomeromycetes; Glomerales; Glomeraceae
Description: SSU rRNA
Rfam family: Eukaryotic small subunit ribosomal RNA
Source: RNAcentral
AGCAGCCGCGGUAAUUCCAGCUCCAAUAGCGUAUAUUAAAGUUGUUGCAGUUAAAAAGCUCGUAGUUGAAUUUCGGGAUCAAUACGUCGGUCGUGCUUCGGUACGUACUGGUGUCAUUGAUUUCUCCCUUCUGACGAACCAUGAUGUCAUUAACUUGGUGUCAUGGGAAAUCAGGACUGUUACUUUGAAAAAUUAGAGUGUUUAAAGCAAGCUCACGCUUGAAUACAUUAGCAUGGAAUAAUGAAAUAGGACAUUGUAUUCUAUUUUGUUGGUUUCUAGGAUCGACGUAAUGAUUAAUAGGGAUAGUUGGGGGCAUUAGUAUUCGAUUGUCAGAGGUGAAAUUCUUGGAUUUAUUGAAGACUAACUACUGCGAAAGCAUUUGCCAAGGAUGUUUUCAUUAAUCAAGAACGAAAGUUAGGGGAUCGAAGACGAUCAGAUACCGUCGUAGUCUUAACCAUAAACUAUGCCGACUAGGGAUCGGAUGAUGUUAAUUUUAUAAUGA